AGACGAUGCCAUCGAACAAGUU
This 22-nucleotide unclassified non-coding RNA is filed under the name Dictyostelium discoideum. The record is from RNAcentral. Lineage: Eukaryota; Evosea; Eumycetozoa; Dictyosteliales; Dictyosteliaceae.